GAUCAUGGCUCAGAUUGAACGCUGGCGGCAUGCCUUACACAUGCAAGUCGAACGGCAGCGGGGGAGCUUGCUCCUGCCGGCGAGUGGCGAACGGGUGAGUAAUGCAUCGGAACGUGUCCUGUUGUGGGGGAUAACUGAUCGAAAGAUCAGCUAAUACCGCAUGAGACCUGAGGGUGAAAGCGGGGGAUCGAAAGACCUCGCGCGACAGGAGCGGCCGAUGU
This 221-nucleotide ribosomal RNA is filed under the name uncultured bacterium. RNAcentral describes it as "partial 16S ribosomal RNA". It matches the Rfam family "Bacterial small subunit ribosomal RNA", at positions 15 to 236 of the family's 1533-position model. The record is from RNAcentral.